GACGAACGCUGGCGGCGUGCUUAACACAUGCAAGUCGAACGGAAAGGCCCUGCUUUUGUUGGGUGCUCGAGUGGCGAACGGGUGAGUAACACGUGAGUAACCUGCCCUUGACUUUGGGAUAACUUCAGGGAACUCGGGCUAAUACCGGAUAGGAGCUCCUGCUGCGUGGUGGGGGUUGGAAAAUUUCGGCGGUUGUGGAUGGACUCGCGGCUUAUCCGCUUGUUGGUGGGGUAGUGGCUUACCAAGGCUUUGACGGGUAGCCGGCCUGAGAGGGUGACCGGCCACAUUGGGCCUGAGAUACGGCCCAGACUGCUACGGGCGGCAGCAGUGGGGAGUAUUGCACAAUGGGGGGAAGCCUGAUGCAGCAACGCUGCGUGCGGGAUGACGGCCUUCGGGUUGUAAACAGCUUUCGACUGUGACGAGGCGUGAGUGACGGUAAUGGGUAAAGAAGCACCGGCUAACUACGUG
RNAcentral lists this ribosomal RNA (468 nucleotides) under uncultured bacterium. Its description in RNAcentral is "partial 16S ribosomal RNA". It matches the Rfam family "Bacterial small subunit ribosomal RNA", at positions 28 to 507 of the family's 1533-position model. The record is from RNAcentral.